This is a non-coding RNA of Brachypodium distachyon (stiff brome), 136 nucleotides long. NCBI's taxonomy places the organism in Eukaryota, Viridiplantae, Streptophyta, Magnoliopsida, Poales, Poaceae. The record is from Rfam.
UUAGUACUCCUUCCGUCCAGCAAAGAAUGUCUCAACUUUGACUAAAUUUGAAUGCAUCUAUACACUAAGUCAUGUUUAGAUACAUUCAAAUUUUGACAAACUUGAGACAUCCUUUGUUGGACGGAAGGAGUAUGAC